Molecule: long non-coding RNA, 262 nt
Organism: Micropterus dolomieu (smallmouth bass)
Lineage: Eukaryota; Metazoa; Chordata; Actinopteri; Centrarchiformes; Centrarchidae
Exons: 2
Source: RefSeq, a predicted model, not a curated record
CACACCUGCUCUGUGUCCCACAAUCAGCCACUGCCUAAAUAGGAGGCUCAGACAUCCAGUCCUCGGCGGAUUGUUGAAUCUCCACGUGAAGACCUCCGCCGUCUCAGCAGACAACCAGCCAGUAAGCUCUCGGUGCUGCCCGCAGCCUGGACACUUCCCCGCUCCCGGAUUUCCCUCCUACCCCGAACCUGGGAGAGCGCCUCUGUCCUGAACCUCCGUCUUCCCCGCUUACUCUCCUCUGAAUAAACUGUCUAAACUCUGA